Molecule: small nucleolar RNA, 139 nt
Organism: Ornithorhynchus anatinus (platypus)
Lineage: Eukaryota; Metazoa; Chordata; Mammalia; Monotremata; Ornithorhynchidae
Source: RefSeq, a predicted model, not a curated record
CUCCUCUCAGGAUGGCAUCUGGAGAGUUUCCAGUACUCUGCCAGUCUCGGCUACGGAGGGAGAGAUAAGCAGCGAGGUGUACCCAUUCUAUUCCUAGCUUGGGCAAUAGCUAGCUAGUGGAAGGCAAUCUUCUUCAAGU